CGAGAGCUUGCUCUUGUGGAUCAGUGGCGAACGGGUGAGUAACACGUGAGUAACCUGCCCCAGACUCUGGGAUAAGCCUUGGAAACGAGGUCUAAUACCGGAUACGCGACAGGACCGCAUGGUCUCUGUUGGGAAAGUUUUUCGGUCUGGGAUGGACUCGCGGCCUAUCAGCUUGUUGGUGAGGUAAUGGCUCACCAAGGCGACGACGGGUAGCCGGCCUGAGAGGGCGACCGGCCACACUGGAACUGAGACACGGUCCAGACUCCUACGGGAGGCAGCAGUGGGGAAUAUUGCACAAUGGGCGAAAGCCUGAUGCAGCGACGCCGCGUGGGGGAUGAAGGCCUUCGGGUUGUAAACCCCUUUCAGCAGGGAAGAAGCGAAAGUGACGGUACUUGCAGAAGAAGCGCCGGCUAACUACGUGCCAGCAGCCGCGGUAAUACGUAGGGCGCAAGCGUUGUCCGGAAUUAUUGGGCGUAAAGAGCUYGUAGGCGGUUCGUCGCGUCUGCUGUGAAAGCCCGAGGCUCAACCUCGGGUCUGCAGUGGGUACGGGCGGACUAGAGUGUGGUAGGGGAGACUGGAAUUCCUGGUGUAGCGGUGGAAUGCGCAGAUAUCAGGAGGAACACCAAUGGCGAAGGCAGGUCUYUGGGCCACAACUGACGCUGAGGAGCGAAAGCGUGGGGAGCGAACAGGAUUAGAUACCCUGGUAGUCCACGCCGUAAACGGUGGGCACUAGAUGUGGGGCUCUUUCCAUGAGUUCCGCGUCGCAGCUAACGCAUUAAGUGCCCCGCCUGGGGAGUACGGCCGCAAGGCUAAAACUCAAAGGAAUUGACGGGGGCCCGCACAAGCGGCGGAGCAUGCGGAUUAAUUCGAUGCAACGCGAAGAACCUUACCAAGGCUUGACAUAUACCCUCUAUCC
RNAcentral lists this ribosomal RNA (916 nucleotides) under Demequina sp. RNAcentral's name for it is "bacterial SSU rRNA". It matches the Rfam family "Bacterial small subunit ribosomal RNA", at positions 73 to 1000 of the family's 1533-position model. The record is from RNAcentral. Lineage: Bacteria; Bacillati; Actinomycetota; Actinomycetes; Micrococcales; Demequinaceae.